RNAcentral lists this ribosomal RNA (253 nucleotides) under uncultured bacterium. RNAcentral describes it as "partial 16S ribosomal RNA". It matches the Rfam family "Bacterial small subunit ribosomal RNA", at positions 524 to 776 of the family's 1533-position model. The record is from RNAcentral.
UACGGGGGGGGCAAGCGUUGUUCGGAAUUACUGGGCGUAAAGGGCUCGUAGGCGGCCAACUAAGUCAGACGUGAAAUCCCUCGGCUUAACCGGGGAACUGCGUCUGAUACUGGAUGGCUCGAGUUUGGGAGAGGGAUGCGGAAUUCCAGGUGUAGCGGUGAAAUGCGUAGAUAUCUGGAGGAACACCGGUGGCGAAGGCGGCAUCCUGGACCAAUAUUGACGCUGAGGAGCGAAAGCCAGGGGAGCAAACGGG